RNAcentral lists this long non-coding RNA (2176 nucleotides) under Nicotiana benthamiana. RNAcentral describes it as "long non-coding RNA (NBEN_LNC014764)". Lineage: Eukaryota; Viridiplantae; Streptophyta; Magnoliopsida; Solanales; Solanaceae. The record is from RNAcentral.
CCAAACACGCUCCUCUCUCAAACUUUCUCGAAAGUUGUUGAAACCCCAAUCGCCUUCUACCAUUUUCAAUCGCAAUCUCACCAGAAUUCAUGGCCUCUUAGGCCAUGGAUGGCCUACGGUCACCUCCCUAUUAUCUUAAAUGCUUGGUGUUUGAAGUUUUGAGGUCUGACCUCGAGGGUGUCCGUUCAGAUCUUCUCCGAUUCAAGGUUCUAUUGUUUCUUCGGCUUUGCUCCGUCAUAUCCAAAGCGUUUCGAGCCUGGUUCAGACUCAUACGAGUUAAAUCGGACCUAUUCCAACUCUUUAGGGUUCCUUUAAAACCCUAGCUAUCCGAGGUUUUCUCUGAUUAUCUUCUUAGAUUGGUUCUAUAUUUGUGCUCUACUUGAGUUUUAAAACGUUUUCCCCAAUUUUUCUUUCAAGAAUUACUUCUCUCCGACUUAGGGUUCUGAAAAACUCAAAAGGUUUUCUCUGAGUGUUCUUUUCCUUUUUCUUUGUGUAUAUUUGUCACGCAUGUAUUUCUACUGCUUUCUUAUGUUUUGCUACUAUAUAUGUUCUUUUGUGCCUUGUCUUUCUAUUUUUGUUUCUACACCAUGCUUACAUGUUCGUCCUACCAUGUUUUCCUAUAUGUCUUGUUGAUAUAAUUUUUGUAUUCUUCUACUGAGUUCUUAAGUUCUUUUCUUGCCUUUUUACUGGACUCUUGUUUUAGUUCUCUUUAAACAUGUUUCGUCUACUGUUUUUUUAAGUGCUAUACUACCUCUUCUCUUUUUUGGACUUGUUUAAAUACCAUGUUUUCUUAAACAUGCUCUUUCUACCCCCUCCCUACUAUGUUCCAAAUUAGUUUCUUCACUUUAUUGUUUCAAACUCGCUAUUGUAUCUGUUUGUUGUUUGUCUCCUCAUCUCUGUAUCUUAUUUGAGUUGUAAACUCUAGAAUCUGGGGGUUUGGUCAAGUUUGAUCUUGUGUCUGGACUAGGAUUCUGUUUUGGAACCCUCGACUCUUUCACACUCAUUCUGAAUCUACGAGCUAAGUUGAACUUCUGUGUUUAGAACUACGAACUUUUUUCUAUGCUAUACUCUUCUACUGAUUGGCACGACCGUUCUUCAUGCUUGAGCAUGGCUGUAUGUUUUAUAUGUGUGAUGAAUUAUUUCUUUCAAGAAGGUUUUCCAACUUAUGAUUAAUUCAGAAUCCCUUUAUUUAGGUUUAAUCGAUUGUUAUUGAUUUUUCUUUAAGUAAAACCCUUCUCCACAUUUUCUGACUGUAUUCAUCCAUAGAUUUCUUUUCCUUAUUUGCACAAACCGUGUGCUUCAUGACUUUUCCUUAAGUAUACCUCUAUGUAUUACCCCCAUUGUACUGUUUUGAAAAGAUGUUUGGUUCUUUUCUUUCCUUAAUUACUUUUACCUGUUUGAAGUCAGAAUCCCUUACCUAAAGGGAGACCUUGUUAAAUUGAUUUUAAAAUUAUUUUCUUACCUAUUAUUUCUUGCUUUCUACACUAUAAAUACAUGACCUUCUUUAACACGUUAUAUACAGUUAAUACGACCAACUUUCAAUCACACUACCAUUCAACACUUUUACACUUCACAAGACUACUGCAUUCUUCUUUUGUUCCCCUGAAACAGGUAUUUUCCAGUUUAGUUUUCAGCCUCAUCCCUAUGUGUUUAUUUUUCAGCUUCCACGAUCCUAUCUAUUUUGCUUUCUAUGCUUAGUAUUAAAUAUGUAUGUUGUUCUCUUUGCGCUCGCUUCUGCUAUAAAUCCAUGUACCCCUAUUCCCUCUAUGUGUUUGAGUUAAAGUUCAGAACAUGGCAACAUCCAAAUUGUUGCUCAUGUCAGGACUUGAUCCUUUAAGGGGUCCUAACUCCCAAACAUUGUGGCUAACAGGCUAGUUGGGGUGUGCCAGCACCUCCAAUUGUUGGGUAUGGCCACCAGUCUGUCUUGAAUUUCCCUAGAAUCCCCUUUAUUCCACUCACACUCUCUCCUAGCUUCUAAGUUCUGCCCUCUCCUAUGAGCCUUGCUUUGGGACCUUGAGUUUCUCUGAACUUGGACAUUUGAGGGUUGGCCCUUCCACACUACACUGUAAUUCAAUGCUGUAAUGAAUUUGGGUGUAAGUACUGCCCGGAGUCUAUAAGGCUCUUGAGAAUUCUGACACACCCAAAAAUGAGAAAGGCUUUGGAAAUUUGAUCUUUG